This 152-nucleotide ribosomal RNA is filed under the name Polytomella parva. RNAcentral describes it as "partial Microsporidia small subunit ribosomal RNA". Lineage: Eukaryota; Viridiplantae; Chlorophyta; Chlorophyceae; Chlamydomonadales; Chlamydomonadaceae. The record is from RNAcentral.
UGCCAGCAGCCGCGGUAGCGAUGAUGUUGAUGGUGAUAGUGAGAAUGUUAAUAGUCAGAAGGAUGAUAGUAAUAUGAGUGAUAAUGGCAGUAAAAUAGAUUUCGACCAUACUAAAAAAGAUGAUAGUGGAGCGGAUAAUGGAGCGGAUAGUG